RNAcentral lists this unclassified non-coding RNA (334 nucleotides) under soil metagenome. RNAcentral describes it as "partial contains 5.8S ribosomal RNA, internal transcribed spacer 2, and large subunit ribosomal RNA". The stretch from base 1 to 120 matches the Rfam family "5.8S ribosomal RNA", at positions 35 to 154 of the family's 154-position model. The record is from RNAcentral.
GAUGAAGAACGUAGUGAAAUGCGAUAAGUAAUGUGAAUUGCAGAAUUCAGUGAAUCAUCGAAUCUUUGAACGCACAUUGCGCCCGCCAGUAUUCUGGCGGGCAUGCCUGUUCGAGCGUCAUUUCAACCAUCAAGCCCCCGGCUUGUGUUGGGGACCUGCGGCUGCCGCAGGCCCUGAAAACCAGUGGCGGGCUCGCUAGUCACUCCGAGCGUAGUAAUACAUCUCGCUCAGGGCGUGCUGCGGGUUCCGGCCGUUAAAAGCCUUAUUUUACCCAAGGUUGACCUCGGAUCAGGUAGGAAGACCCGCUGAACUUAAGCAUAUCAAUAAGCGGAGA